AUACGGAGGGGGCUAGCGUUGUUCGGAAUUACUGGGCGUAAAGCGCACGUAGGCGGUAUAUCAAGUUAGGCGUGAAAGCCCUGGGCUCAACCCAGGAACUGCGCUUAUUACUGAUAAACUAGAGUCCGGGAGAGGGUAGCGGAAUUCCCAGUGUAGAGGUGAAAUUCGUAGAUAUUGGGAAGAACACCAGUUGCGAAGGCGGCUACCUGGACCGGUACUGACGCUGAGGUGCGAAAGCGUGGGGAGCAAACAGGAUUAGAAACCCCGGUAGUCC
RNAcentral lists this ribosomal RNA (274 nucleotides) under uncultured bacterium. Its description in RNAcentral is "partial 16S ribosomal RNA". It matches the Rfam family "Bacterial small subunit ribosomal RNA", at positions 523 to 796 of the family's 1533-position model. The record is from RNAcentral.